CCUACGGGCGGCAGCAGUGAGGAAUAUUGGUCAAUGGACGGAAGUCUGAACCAGCCAUGCCGCGUGCAGGAAGACGGCUCUAUGAGUUGUAAACUGCUUUUGUACAAGGGUAAACCUGAAUACGUGUAUUCAGCUGAAAGUACUGUACGAAUAAGGAUCGGCUAACUCCGUGCCAGCAGCCGCGGUAAUACGGAGGAUCCAAGCGUUAUCCGGAUUUAUUGGGUUUAAAGGGUGCGUAGGCGGAUUGAUAAGUUAGAGGUGAAAUGUCCGAGCUUAACUCGGGAACUGCCUCUAAUACUGUUGGUCUAGAGAGUAGAUGCGGUAGGCGGAAUGUAUGGUGUAGCGGUGAAAUGCUUAGAGAUCAUACAGAACACCGAUUGCGAAGGCAGCUUACCAAGCUAUAUCUGACGUUGAGGCACGAAAGCGUGGGGAGCAAACAGGAUUAGAUACCCGGGUAGUC
RNAcentral lists this ribosomal RNA (460 nucleotides) under uncultured bacterium. RNAcentral's name for it is "partial 16S ribosomal RNA". It matches the Rfam family "Bacterial small subunit ribosomal RNA", at positions 338 to 795 of the family's 1533-position model. The record is from RNAcentral.